Molecule: ribosomal RNA, 431 nt
Filed under: Angiostrongylus malaysiensis
Lineage: Eukaryota; Metazoa; Nematoda; Chromadorea; Rhabditida; Metastrongylidae
Description: partial small subunit ribosomal RNA
Source: RNAcentral
AAUUUUAUCGAUUUGGUUAAAUUUUAGGUAAAAUUAAAAUUUAUGGUUUGGAAAUUUUUGUGUCAUUAAGACUUUUGAAAGCGAAUUAGAUUAGUACCUAAUUAGUAAAAAAUUAAAUAUUCAGGAGUAAAGUGGUAUUUAAACUGAAAGAAUAUUGGCAGAUUUUCUAAAUUAUCUUUGGAGGUUGAGUGAUAAUUGAGAACCCUCAUUAACUACUUAAUUUUUUGGCUUAUGUAUGAUCGUUUAUUUUAAGCUUAAGGUUUAGGAUUAUAGGUUUAUUAUUGACUGUAAAAAUAGAUAUAUAUUUGGUUGAUAAUUAAGUUAAUUUGACCUACAAUAUUUUGAAUUAUGGAUUAUUAGUUAGUAUAAUAUGAAAUUGUAAAAGACAGUAAGAAAGUUUUUAUGUCUUUCUGAAGAGUAUUUAGAGAUGG